UGGAACGUGACGCCAGCACCUUGCUGGAAGU
Molecule: small RNA, 31 nt
Filed under: Bombyx mori (domestic silkworm)
Lineage: Eukaryota; Metazoa; Arthropoda; Insecta; Lepidoptera; Bombycidae
Description: ovarian small RNA-34445
Source: RNAcentral